This 1382-nucleotide ribosomal RNA is filed under the name uncultured bacterium. Its description in RNAcentral is "bacterial SSU rRNA". It matches the Rfam family "Bacterial small subunit ribosomal RNA", at positions 18 to 1395 of the family's 1533-position model. The record is from RNAcentral.
CCUGGCUCACGUUGAACGCUAGCUACAGGCUUAACACAUGCAAGUCGAGGGGCAGCAUGGUCUUAGCUUGCUAAGACUGAUGGCGACCGGCGCACGGGUGAGUAACACGUAUCCAACCUGCCGUCUACUCUUGGACAGCCUUCUGAAAGGAAGAUUAAUACAAGAUGGCAUCAUGAGUCCGCAUGUUCACAUGAUUAAAGGUAUUCCGGUAGACGAUGGGGAUGCGUUCCAUUAGAUAGUAGGCGGGGUAACGGCCCACCUAGUCUUCGAUGGAUAGGGGUUCUGAGAGGAAGGUCCCCCACAUUGGAACUGAGACACGGUCCAAACUCCUACGGGAGGCAGCAGUGAGGAAUAUUGGUCAAUGGGCGAGAGCCUGAACCAGCCAAGUAGCGUGAAGGAUGACUGCCCUAUGGGUUGUAAACUUCUUUUAUAAAGGAAUAAAGUCGGGUAUGGAUACCCGUUUGCAUGUACUUUAUGAAUAAGGAUCGGCUAACUCCGUGCCAGCAGCCGCGGUAAUACGGAGGAUCCGAGCGUUAUCCGGAUUUAUUGGGUUUAAAGGGAGCGUAGAUGGAUGUUUAAGUCAGUUGUGAAAGUUUGCGGCUCAACCGUAAAAUUGCAGUUGAUACUGGAUAUCUUGAGUGCAGUUGAGGCAGGCGGAAUUCGUGGUGUAGCGGUGAAAUGCUUAGAUAUCACGAAGAACUCCGAUUGCGAAGGCAGCCUGCUAAGCUGCAACUGACAUUGAGGCUCGAAAGUGUGGGUAUCAAACAGGAUUAGAUACCCUGGUAGUCCACACGGUAAACGAUGAAUACUCGCUGUUUGCGAUAUACUGCAAGCGGCCAAGCGAAAGCGUUAAGUAUUCCACCUGGGGAGUACGCCGGCAACGGUGAAACUCAAAGGAAUUGACGGGGGCCCGCACAAGCGGAGGAACAUGUGGUUUAAUUCGAUGAUACGCGAGGAACCUUACCCGGGCUUAAAUUGCAGAUGAAUUACGGUGAAAGCCGUAAGCCGCAAGGCAUCUGUGAAGGUGCUGCAUGGUUGUCGUCAGCUCGUGCCGUGAGGUGUCGGCUUAAGUGCCAUAACGAGCGCAACCCUUGUUGUCAGUUACUAACAGGUUCCGCUGAGGACUCUGACAAGACUGCCAUCGUAAGAUGUGAGGAAGGUGGGGAUGACGUCAAAUCAGCACGGCCCUUACGUCCGGGGCUACACACGUGUUACAAUGGGGGGUACAGAGGGCCGCUACCACGCGAGUGGAUGCCAAUCCCCAAAACCUCCCUCAGUUCGGACUGGAGUCUGCAACCCGACUCCACGAAGCUGGAUUCGCUAGUAAUCGCGCAUCAGCCACGGCGCGGUGAAUACGUUCCCGGGCCUUGUACACACCGCCC